AACCACUGGGUAGGAACUUCUGCCGAUAGCUGGCCUGGGUACAGAGGAGCCACCACAAUGACCUCAGACUGCCCAAGUGCCACCACAAAGCCAGUGAAACGUCAUCAGACACUCACCAGCCUCUGAAGCACUUCUGUGAGGAAUUAAGUCCUCAUGCCAACAGCCAAUGGAACAUAAAAUUCUCCUUCUAAAAUGCACUGCUGUGACAAAUCAUGAGAGCAGUUUCUCCUGGCCCUGCUGGAUUCUCCAGAUAGCGACAGCCCAUGGAGACUCUCAACGGCAGCCUCCAUAAACUCUUUAAAUCAGAGCUACCUUUCCAUGGCACCUCCCGGCAACAGAAGUCAGGUAAUGACUGAGGCUAACUGCUGUGAACCUCUAAAUGUUGGGCCAUUUUUAAUGGAGCAACUGACAACUAAAGACCUCCAUAGAAACUUCA
This is a non-coding RNA of Myodes glareolus (Bank vole), 436 nucleotides long. The record is from RefSeq and is a predicted model, not a curated record. NCBI's taxonomy places the organism in Eukaryota, Metazoa, Chordata, Mammalia, Rodentia, Cricetidae.